Long non-coding RNA from Xyrauchen texanus (razorback sucker), 4051 nucleotides. RefSeq lists it as uncharacterized. The record is from RefSeq and is a predicted model, not a curated record. The transcript has 3 exons. Lineage: Eukaryota; Metazoa; Chordata; Actinopteri; Cypriniformes; Catostomidae.
UGGAAGAAGAUGCAGGCGGUGGGAGUGAGGGUUAUAAUCAAAGUAAAUGGAACUUAGUAGAAAAUCGGAAAAGGAAAAAGAGUGUAAGCCAAAUAUCGGGUACGGAUAGUGAGAGAGAAAACCAUCUGACUAGAAGGAGGAAAGAAGAUUAUAAGUUGGUGGCGGUAAAUGCACCUUGUAGCUGGUUUGCCAACCGCCAUAAAACUUUGAAAGAAGAAGAAGAAGAGACGAUCGGGAGCGCGAGUAAAGCUGAGUGAAAGACGCAAUAAACUGUUGUCUAGUGAUUUAUUUUCUUUUAUGUGAACAUCAGUUGACAAGUGUCGAGGUGAGCUGAUGAGAAGCUGUACUGAGCUUGUGCUGUCACGAGUUACAAGCGUGAUCGCAGCUGAACUACGUGGCUGUGUGAUACGAAGAGUGACAUUGCUCGUCUGGCUGACAGCUGUGUGACCCGACCCGAGUGUUUGUCUCCGAUUUAAGGGAGCUGAGGUACUGUGAGUUUUCUUCAUUUUUGUUUCACCACAGUUGACAUCUGGAAGAAAAACAGGGACAACAUUUUUUUUUGUUGCUGUUGUUGAUGUAGAAUAAAGCCGAUUCAGAACGAGUGUUUUUUUUUUUUGCUACUGUUGUUUCGAGAAAAAUCCUCGUUGACACAUUAGCGCCGCUCUGUGAACGCAAGCGGCAUUACAGACUCUUUGAAAUUCUUUUGGAUUUCAUUUUCCCUCCCUAUUUUGAGUAUAUAGCCUCUUCCCUGAGAAUUUGUUUUUCAUCUUUCUAUAUUUUCUCUAUAAUACAUUUUUGGAUGCUUUGCAGUAUUUUUGUUUAACAACUUUGUAAUUCAACUUUGUUUAACACUUGCAUGGACUUGUGUACGGACAAUUUAGUUUGCACAAGUGAGUGAAACCGCAUUUCGGGGUUUUUUUCCCCAGAGACUGUCUCUUCUACCAGGAACAUUCAUGGAAAAUAAUAUUUUUUUUCUUUAAUUGCUACAACAUAAAUUUCCUCAAAACGAUCUUUCCUUCGCACUGUACAAAAUACAUUGAUCUCUAUGCGCAGGCUGCUAAGAAGGGACCAUCUGCAAAGUGCAAACCCGAAAGAAAGCUCGUUUUGAGGCGAUUAAAAUAUUAAAACAAUGUUAUUUGUGUAGUAACAAUAUUCAGCUCACGAGAUAUUGAACGCGGAACUCCGCAAAUAUGCGAAGCGAAUAUAAAAAGCAACUUUACCCAAGUUGCAGACUUGAUCAUGUAGGACCUUCAGGACCACAUAGCCUACAUGGACAGCACCAUGAACAUAGUCAAGUUUUGAAAAAAAACCCAACCAGGGUAAAAAUAGUUUCAGGUUUGAUAUUUGCUGCGUAUUCACCUAGACUGCUUUAGUGUACUUUUGUGUAGGCUAUUGUACAUACAGUACGCAAAAAUGUUUUAUGUAAAAGUUACAGUAAUUCACCAAAGGGAUUUUUUCAUGUUCCAAAGGUUGUAGUAUGUUCCUACUGACCAGACUGACUUACUACAGGUGGAAUUUUGACAGUACCUCCCUUACUGUACGUUCAGUAUACAAAUAUUAAUAAAAAAAAAUUACAGUAAUUCCCCUAAAGUGUUUUUUCCUGUUCCAAAGGCUGUAGUGCUUUCCUAUUGACCAUACUGAUUUAUGUAACCCUGGUGAUUUUCCCCUAAAAGUUAAGCUGGAGUAUUUAAGACCCUUUCAAAUAAUGUUUCUUGGGUACUAAGUUUAUAUUUCUUUACGAUGUGUAAAUGGGAUCUGCGCCUUUAAGAGCAUCGUUCUGUGGUAGAGUUUGGUUGUAAUGUACAUGUGCAAAACGUGGGUUUUACAAACAAGUUAGGGUUUGUCCUUUAUUCAUUGGAGCAUAAGUUAUUAAGCCCGCCUGAUACCUGCGUAAUGUAUGUAUGAUUGGGUCUUGGAAGUUGGGAAGGGAAAAAAAGAGAGGAGAAAGGGGAGAGGAUGGAUGGAUGAAGGUGUGUGUUGAAACGCGCCGUGCUGAAUGUGUGAGAGAAUAGUGAUUAAUCCGACCAGGAUUGGUUGAUUUAUUUCUGAUUAUUAUAUUCAGCAGAGAUUUUAACCAAGGGUUCGCUGGCUGUAAGUUAUCUUUUAGUUUGUAUACACUUGUGUGAGUUCCAUACGAGUUAGUGCUAGCUACAAACGAAGUAGUAACUUGAGUAUCUAAAUAAUAAAGCAGACUUUAUCAACGUGAAUAACGGUGAUAAGGAGGAGCUGCACGACUGCACAUCCAGGUAGCGCCCUGAAUCGCCGAGGGGUUCAGGGUUCCCCUGGCAACGAGGGAUCGUAAAGAGUCCAGGACGCGCAUAUCAGGGACGAAGUGAGUGAUCGGAGUUUCCUAACACGGGAGGACUCAUUACUUACGGAUUGAAGGUAUCCCAUUUAAUGUUUAUUUGGCUCUUCGGAGUGAAGCGGCCAAUUAUCUCUUUAUUUUGUGGCCACAACGCACGCGAGCAACGAUACAGGCCUGCAACGAGGGGUGCAUUCCAGUGUGUGCCCUUGGGUUGUGUUCACAUGCAAGGGGCCUUUUGAUGAUAAUUGUCUUGGGAUUCAGAGAGCGUGAGAGAGACUCUGUACUCAUGUAUUGCAUAUAUAUUAUAUAUAUAUUGUAAGUAAAUCAAAACCAAAUAAUUUACAAGCUUUUAACUUCAUGAGGUGCAAUGGCAAGGUAUCAUAACACCGGAGAUGUCCUUGGUGAAUCUGCCUCUGGCUGGACAUUCCUUUACAGUCCUUUUUAAAGUCCAUCAACUUUUUGACAUGUUCAGAAAUCCCCUCCUGGAAACUCCCUCUGCAUACAUUCAGUCUUUUACAGCCAAUUGGUCAAACAUAAAACCUUGAACUGUCAUUAUUUCUGGAAGACCCCUUAGGACUUUUGCAUAUAAAACUCUUUGUCUCGUUUUCCUCUUUUUCUGGACCUUUCCAUCAUCGCUGUAUCUUCUGUAUCUCGUCCGCAACACAUAGACGGUAAUGAUGGCAUUUUUCUCCUUUCUUUUGCAAAGCUCUUUCUAAUACAUUUUCAAUUCCUUUCUACUCUGCCACCAUCAUCUGCUUAAUAAAUGCUUACAACAUUCAGUGUAGUAUGUUUUUCUUUAUAAACCAUUUUCAUAAUAAAAAUCUUUAUAAAACAAGUUGAGGUGUUUUUCUUAAUAAACUUUUUUCUCAAUAUAUGGUUAUAAUGAUUAUUAAUACAAGUGUUUUACAGUAAACACAUUCUUAAAUUGUUUAACAACUACUUAUGGUACCUUUCAUUAUAAAACCACUUUUUAUUAGUUACAAUUGUGGUUUACUAUGACCCAUAAAUACUUCAUAUACCAAAAGCCAUGAUUAGAAUACAAUAAUUGCAUAUUUCACAACAAUAUCCACAUAUCUGCAUCUGUAUAUCUGUCUUAGUUGACUUGUAUAAGUUUGAGGGUCAAUUUAUACAUAAUUUCACCUUAUUUUCAUUAAGUGAACAUCUCAUGUGUAUUUCUUUAGGGAGUGGAGUAAAGGGGCAUAUUAUCUUUCCUGCUUUCCUGGAGUGAAAUGUUUUAUCAGCCUGUUAAGGUGGACUGCUCUUCUGAUAAUUAGCUCAGGCCUUCUUCAGCCUCGAAGAGAACUGUUGUUUGUCAGUGUUCUGUGUGUGUGCGUUUGAUAUUCUUUGCAGGUUCUGAACUUUGUGAUAUAGCCUAAAACAUUCUCGGACCCUGGAAGAAGGUCACCACGGACUUAAAUCUCGGAAAUGGACGACAAAUAUUCUGAUUAACGGCGAUAUACCCACUUAUCUAUCAAAAACGUAUUAUUGUUUAGACUUUAUGUUGUCUCAGCCAAUCAGAAGUAAACGAUUAUGUAAUGCAUGUCCUUGGAAAAGGUAUAAUUGUGUGAGAUUUGUUUGUAAGGUAGAGUUGGCUUGCGACCUCCUCGUGACUUUGACGCUGGCUUUACCAAUUUAACUGCAAGCUAUUCUUCAGUAAAAUUGUACUUAUUUGAUUGAAUUUCACGACUCCUGGUCUUCUUUCAUCAUAUUAUCUGGUCCUGGGUCUUACAACUGUACCCCCCCAAA